CACAACAUGACACCCAUGCAGAAAGACGUCCACUCUGGCUACAAGACAAUGCACCACCGGCACCUCCAGCCCCACAAGCAGCGGCAGCAGCAGAAGCAGCAGCAAUCUGUCCAAAGCUGAUUUGUCACACUUGGACUUCAUUGAAAUAACUAUUUUAUGUCUGGGUCCCUGAAACCUGAAGCUUUAUAAUGCAGAUUUUUGCAAACUUAAGAAAAGUAUAAACACCCUACUAUCCACAAAGUAAAACAUCCUUUCAAGUUAGAUAUUUCCAACAUAAACUAUUUUCGUUAUGACAUUAGCUAAAUACAUAAAAUAUAAAAGAAGACCCAAAUUCCUCAUGUUAGCUCAUAUCCCUCACCACAAAGUCCAACAAAUUACAAAAUAAAUGCAAACAAUAUUAUUAAACUAGCAAAAAGGAAAAUACUAAGUUAAGAAAAUCAAUGAUCAUGCUUUACCAAUAUUGAAUCACCUUUCAAAGCUGGAAUAUAGUAUUUCUAUUUUGUAACAUCUUAUAAUUCUUUACUCUCACCUCUUUCAUCCUUUAAAAUACUGUGAAAUCUUUCAACAGAAAGGCUUAAUGUCAUUUGGGUUUCACUUGGGGUAAACAAAUCACACUUUUUUCCUGUGUUCUUUUUUAAACUCUGACAAUAUACUAUACUAUCUAGUGCGAGGUCUCUCC
This 679-nucleotide long non-coding RNA is filed under the name Chinchilla lanigera (long-tailed chinchilla). RNAcentral's name for it is "lncRNA (ENSCLAG00000023875.1)". Lineage: Eukaryota; Metazoa; Chordata; Mammalia; Rodentia; Chinchillidae. The record is from RNAcentral.